This 759-nucleotide unclassified non-coding RNA is filed under the name Hevea brasiliensis (rubber tree). Lineage: Eukaryota; Viridiplantae; Streptophyta; Magnoliopsida; Malpighiales; Euphorbiaceae. The record is from RNAcentral.
GCGGGGGCAGAGGUGAACAGCAAGUAUGACUGAUGGAUAUUCCGGAAGUGAUCUUAAGAAUCUUUGUGUUACAGCGGCAUAUCAACCCAUUAGAGAAAUCCUAGAAAAAGAAAAAAAGGAACAUGCUGCAGCUAUGGCAGAAGGUAGACCUACACCAACACCAUGCGGUGGUGCAGACAUACGACCUUUGAACAUGGACGAUUUCAAAAAUGCUCACGAGCGGGUUUGUGCAAGUGUUUCAUCGGAAUCCAUAAAUAUGACGGAGCUUCUUCAGUGGAAUGAACUGUAUGGAGAGGGGGGCUCUAGAAGGAAGAAGUCCUUGAGUUAUUUUAUGUAAAAGUUGUUCAUAUUGUACAUUGAUGUCUUAAGGAAGUUCUUAAAAAUGUGAUCUCCUCAGGCUCAGGUCAAGGUCAGUCGCCGCCCUUUGUGGUUUUCCAUGACACCCUGGAAGUUUUUGUACAAUGAGUAUAGGUCUCUUAAGUUAUACAUGAGUUUUGAGAUGUAAUGAGGAUGGAGUAGCCCUCUAGGAAUAGGUAGUAUCUCCACCUUCAUUUUCUUUACCCUCUUUCUCACAACGAGCAGAAAGAUGUCCGAGGUUCUUAUUUUAAUGCAGCUGCUACUGUUGCUAUUCGUUAUAUGUCAAGUUGGAAGCAAAUAAUAUGCAAGUCUUGUCGUUGUUUUAGAUACUGACUUGGUUCUUUGGAUAUCUAGUUGUUGAUGAGCUUGUACUUGCCGAGUUCCAGCAAAAAUACAAUGAAA